RNAcentral lists this ribosomal RNA (506 nucleotides) under uncultured bacterium. RNAcentral describes it as "partial 16S ribosomal RNA". It matches the Rfam family "Bacterial small subunit ribosomal RNA", at positions 30 to 523 of the family's 1533-position model. The record is from RNAcentral.
AUUGAACGCUAACGGCGUGCUUAACACAUGCAAGUCGAGCGGCGGCAUGACUGUAGCAAUACAGUUGAUGGCGAGCGGCGGACGGGUGAGUAAUGCAUAGGAAUCUGCCUUGUAGUGGGGGAUAACCCGGGGAAACUCGGGCUAAUACCGCAUAAUCGCCACGGAGCAAAGUGGGGGACCUUCGGGCCCUACGCUAAAAGAUGAGCCUAUGUUGGAUUAGCUAGUUGGUAGGGUAAAAGCCUACCAAGGCAACGAUCCAUAGCUGGUCUGAGAGGAUGAUCAGCCACACUGGGACUGAGACACGGCCCAGACUCCUACGGGAGGCAGCAGUGGGGAAUAUUGGACAAUGGGCGAAAGCCUGAUCCAGCAACGCCGUGUGUGUGAAGAAGGCCUUCGGGUUGUAAAGCACUUUUAGUGGGAAAGAAAAGUUCAUGGCUAAUAUCCAUGAAUGCUGACGUUACCCACAGAAAAAGCACUGGCUAACUCUGUGCCAGCCGCCGCAGUAA